AACAGAACACAAUCUUCAUCAUCACACAAGACACAACAACAACAAUGAACAACAUCAUCAUCCUCAUCUGGACCAUUGCAGCUUUUAUUCAUGAAUCCAGAGGAAUCACUGUGACUCAGCCUAAAGUUAAAACUGUCCAGCUCGGUCAAACAGCUACAAUAGAGUGUAGUCUGGAUGUAGGACUAACCUAUAAUGGUUUGGCUUGGUAUCAGCAGAAACCUGGAGAAGCUCCUAAACUCCUCAUUUAUUACAUAAACAGCCUCCAGUCAGGAACUCCAUCUAGAUUCAGUGGCAGUGGAUCUAACUAUGGAAAAGAUUUCACUCUGACCAUCAGUGGAGUCCAGACUGAAGAUACAGGAGAUUAUUACUGUCAGAGUGCACACUAUAUCAGUAGUAGCUGGGUGUUCACACAGUGAUAAAGAGUCGUACAAAAACCUCCGUCAGUCAGAGUCACAGUGACUGCACUGAUACAGCUG
This is a non-coding RNA of Carassius auratus (goldfish), 476 nucleotides long. NCBI's taxonomy places the organism in Eukaryota, Metazoa, Chordata, Actinopteri, Cypriniformes, Cyprinidae. The record is from the annotation of a RefSeq genome assembly.